GAUGACCUACGGGAGGCAGCAGUGGGGAAUAUUGCACAAUGGGGGAAACCCUGAUGCAGCGACGCCGCGUGGGCGAGGAAGUACCUCGGAAUGUAAAGCCCUCUCAGCAGGGAAGAAACAGGACAGUACCUGACUAAGAAGCCCCGGCUAACUACGUGCCAGCAGCCGCGGCAAUACGUAGGGGGCAAGCGUUAUCCGGAUUCAUUGGGCGUAAAGGGAGCGCAGGAGGCAUGGCAAG
RNAcentral lists this ribosomal RNA (238 nucleotides) under uncultured bacterium. RNAcentral's name for it is "partial 16S ribosomal RNA". It matches the Rfam family "Bacterial small subunit ribosomal RNA", at positions 333 to 587 of the family's 1533-position model. The record is from RNAcentral.